This is an RNA transcript of Solanum tuberosum (potato), 1797 nucleotides long. It is a transcript of the gene named ATPase GET3, with no coding region annotated. The record is from RefSeq and is a predicted model, not a curated record. The transcript has 12 exons. Lineage: Eukaryota; Viridiplantae; Streptophyta; Magnoliopsida; Solanales; Solanaceae.
UAAUUUAAUGACCCUUGACACCUUUUGGUGAGGUGUUACUCAAUUUUCUGGCAUAAGUUAUAAGUAGUGUGUGUGUGCCCCUCAGAGUCCAAACUGGAGAAGCUAAGAGAAGAUAGUGGAGACCCAAGAUAGUGUUUUCAUCUUCGGCAAUGGAAGUUGUGGGAUAUGGCCAUUCUUCUAAUUCUCUCAGACCCUCACACCCACUUUCUCUCUUCAACUUCAGACCAACCUUCAGCUCGGCUACUUUUAUUUCCUUCAAGAACCAGCCCAUUAAGUGUUUGCAAGUGAGAGCAGUAGCUUCUCCUGCUGGAUUUGAUGAAAUGGUUUCUGGGACCGAGCGUAAGUAUUACAUGCUAGGUGGUAAAGGAGGAGUUGGGAAGACAAGUUGUGCUGCUUCACUUGCUGUAAAAUUUGCAAAUAAUGGUCAUCCCACUUUAGUAGUUUCAACUGAUCCUGCACAUUCCUUAAGUGAUUCUUUUGCCCAGGAUUUGGCUGGCGGGACUCUAGUUCCAGUUGAAGGCCCGGAUUCUCCAUUAUUUGCCCUUGAGUUGAAUCCUGAAAAGGCCAAGGAAGAAUUUCGAAGUGCAACCCAGAUAAGUGGAGGAUCUGGUAUCAAAGACUUUAUGGAUGGUAUGGGCCUUGGAGUGCUUGCUGAACAGCUUGGGGAACUAAAGCUUGGAGAACUGCUGGAUACACCCCCUCCUGGUCUAGAUGAAGCCAUUGCAAUUUCAAAGGUUAUGCAAUUCCUUGAAUCGCAGGAAUAUAAUAUGUUUACUCGUAUAGUGUUUGACACAGCCCCGACGGGACAUACUCUACGGCUCUUGUCCUUGCCAGACUUCUUGGAUAAAUCAAUUGGAAAGAUUUUGAAGUUGAGACAGAAGAUAGCUUCUGCCACUUCAGCAAUAAAGUCUGUCUUUGGCCAGGAAGGAUCGCCCAAGCCAGAUGCUGCAGAUAAAUUGGAGCGGUUAAGGGAGAGGAUGAUAAAAGUAAGAGAGCUUUUUCGUGACACAACCUCAACAGAAUUUAUCAUAGUAACAAUCCCCACGUCACCAUGUGCCCUUCAGGUUAUGGCAAUUAGCGAAUCGUCCAGGUUGUGUGCUUCCUUAAAGAUGGAAGAUGUUCCUGUCAAGAGGCUUAUUGCUAAUCAGAUCCUCCCGCCAUCAGCCUCAGAUUGCAAGUUCUGCGCAAUGAAAAGAAAGUAUCACAGGACCAAAGUCGUGCUCUGGAUAUGAUCCAGAAUGACCCAGAGCUCUCUAGCCUGAUGUUGGUCCAGGCACCCCUUGUUGAUGUAGAGAUCAGAGGUGUUCCAGCUCUUCAGUUUUUAGGGGACAUUGUCUGGAAAUAAAGAAAAAGAACUAGACACUGCAUCAGCUAAUCAGAUGUUUCCAGUCACAUUUGCCAACAAACUGCAUUGAUGGACUAUGAGCACCCAAGUCUUUUGAUGGUCUUGCUCUAACUAAUGAACAGAAAUACAUGCGAUACUCGUGUUAUUUUACUAAGGUACAGGAAAAUACAAAGUGGGAGUUGUUGAGAUGAGUCAACAAAAAAUGGGCUGAAAAGAAUUGUUUGUUUUCAUAUUAGUGACUUGACAUUUGAAAUAAAAAAGAACAUGGCAAAGCACUAGUGAAACAAGUAAACUGGAUGUCAAUCUCCCGUUUAUUUUCUUUUUCUUUUUUGCGGACAUAGUGAACUUGUUUUGUUGUAUAAAAUGGGUUGUACGAUGCUUUGUAUUUUGUGGAUUUCGAAACUGCUAAGAAAAGACUUGUGACUGUGCGUAUAUAGAUAUGCUUCUGCCUU